CAGUCGCCACGGUAAUACGUAGGGUGCGAGCGUUGUCCGGAAUUAUUGGGCGUAAAGAGCUUGUAGGCGGUCUGUCGCGUCUGCUGUGAAAACCCGAGGCUCAACCUCGGGCCUGCAAUGGAUACUGGCGAGCUAGAGUGUGUCAGAGGAUGGUGGAAUUCCCGGUGUAGCGGUGAAAUGCGUAGAGAUCGGGAGGAACAUCAGUGGCGAAGGCGGCCAUCUGGGACAACACUGACGCUGAGGCACGAAAGCGUGUGGAGCAAACAGGAUUAGAUACCCGUGUAGUCCCUGUCUCUUAUAC
Molecule: ribosomal RNA, 301 nt
Filed under: uncultured bacterium
Lineage: Bacteria
Description: partial 16S ribosomal RNA
Rfam family: Bacterial small subunit ribosomal RNA
Source: RNAcentral